Helianthus annuus (common sunflower) is the source of this 603-nucleotide long non-coding RNA. RefSeq lists it as uncharacterized. Lineage: Eukaryota; Viridiplantae; Streptophyta; Magnoliopsida; Asterales; Asteraceae. The transcript is spliced from 3 exons. The record is from RefSeq and is a predicted model, not a curated record.
UUAUUGAAAAUUGAAGGUUUCUUUUAACAAAAUUGGACAUGUAUCUCGUUUUAAAACCCCGGUUAAACCGAAUGCAAGAAAAUGCCUGGUUUCUUCUGAUGAACCGGAGACUACAGUUUCAGAUGACGACUCGUCUUCUGAUGAAUCGGGGACUAUAGUUUCAGAUGAUGAUGCUUCUUUGUGGUUGAGUGAAGAUCAAGAACAUGGGAUCAAGAUUAAGGAUGAAGGUGAAUGUUCAAGUAAAGCAGGGGAGAUUGAAAAGGGUAAAGCUGAUUUCAAAAGUGAUAAACCCUUCAUGGUUUAUAUAAAUCAAUCACAUCUUACUAAUCGCGGAGUGUAUCUACCAGCGGAGUUCAGAAAGAAGUUCUCGAGGGGUCACAAGAGCGAUCACAAAUGUUCGCUUCAACCUUGGAGUUUGGUGGAUGUGGUAAUGGUUGCAAGCUCACAACUGAAGUGUAUUUAACCAUGUUCUUUGAAAUGACAGUUCUUAAUAUAUUAGUUUGAGUUGGAACUAACUUUGUGGUUUAAAUUUGUAUUUUGUUGAAGUUAUUUGUAUGUUUUAUUGUUAAAUUCUUGAGCUUGAGUUGGAUGUCUUGAAUAAUA